RNAcentral lists this microRNA precursor (62 nucleotides) under Pongo abelii (Sumatran orangutan). RNAcentral's name for it is "miRNA". The record is from RNAcentral. Lineage: Eukaryota; Metazoa; Chordata; Mammalia; Primates; Hominidae.
ACCUCCUCCCAUCAAUCACAAAUGUCCUUAAUGGCAUUUCCUAUUCAACCACAUGAAGAGGU